Molecule: long non-coding RNA, 479 nt
Filed under: Lathyrus oleraceus (garden pea)
Lineage: Eukaryota; Viridiplantae; Streptophyta; Magnoliopsida; Fabales; Fabaceae
Description: Pisum sativum (pea) long non-coding RNA (PSAT_LNC008799)
Source: RNAcentral
UUUGUUUGGUUAGUAAAAAAAGACAAAGAAAAGAAAAAAAUGGAAAGAAAGGUAGAGAAUAUAAAUAAAAAUAAAGUUAUUUAGAAGUUUGAUUAGAAAGUAGUAAAAGAAAAUAAUAAAAAAAAUAAAUAUAUGUAUUUAUAAAAUGAAGUACAUAUUAAAUACAUCAAAUAUUAAUUUAAUUACAAUAACAAAAAAUAUUAAAACAAAAUAAAUAAAAUAAAAAUAGAAAAUUAAAGGCAAGUUUGAUUUGGUUUUGUAAAAUUGUUUUUUAAUUUUUAAAAUUUGAAGACAAUAAAACUUAAAAUUUUUACCUCAUACCCCUACCGUUAUCCCUCUACCCCCUACAUUUUUAAAAAUAUUCUAAUUAUACCCUUUUUACUUAUCAAAUAAUUUUAUUAUUUAAUAUUUAUCAUUUCACAUCCCUAUCAAAGUGUACCGGAUAACUUUGUCCAAAGUUUUCCGGUAUGUGAUUUUUC